RNAcentral lists this ribosomal RNA (301 nucleotides) under uncultured bacterium. Its description in RNAcentral is "partial 16S ribosomal RNA". It matches the Rfam family "Bacterial small subunit ribosomal RNA", at positions 509 to 807 of the family's 1533-position model. The record is from RNAcentral.
CAGCAGCCACGGUAAUACGUAGGGUCCGAGCGUUGUCCGGAAUUAUUGGGCGUAAAGAGCUCGUAGGCGGUCUGUCGCGUCUGCCGUGAAAUCCUCAGGCUCAACCUGAGGCGUGCGGUGGGUACGGGCAGGCUAGAGUGCGGUAGGGGAGAAUGGAACUCCUGGUGUAGCGGUGGAAUGCGCAGAUAUCAGGAAGAACACCGAUGGCGAAGGCAGUUCUCUGGGCCGUAACUGACGCUGAGGAGCGAAAGCGUGGGGAGCGAACAGGAUUAGAUACCCCAGUAGUCCCUGUCUCUUAUAC